UGUGCCUACGGGGGGCAGCAGUGGGGAAUAUUGGGCAAUGGGGGCAACCCUGACCCAGCAACGCCGCGUGAAGGAAGAAGGCUUUCGGGUUGUAAACUUCUUUGACGAGGGACGAAAAAAAUGACGGUACCUCGAAAACAAGCCACGGCUAACUACGUGCCAGCAGCCGCGGUAAUACGUAGGUGGCAAGCGUUGUCCGGAUUUACUGGGUGUAAAGGGCGCGUAGGCGGGACUGCAAGUCAGAUGUGAAAUGCAGAGGCUCAACCUCUGAGCUGCAUUUGAAACUGUAGUUCUUGAGUAUCGGA
Molecule: ribosomal RNA, 305 nt
Filed under: uncultured bacterium
Lineage: Bacteria
Description: bacterial SSU rRNA
Rfam family: Bacterial small subunit ribosomal RNA
Source: RNAcentral